This 450-nucleotide ribosomal RNA is filed under the name uncultured bacterium. RNAcentral describes it as "partial 16S ribosomal RNA". It matches the Rfam family "Bacterial small subunit ribosomal RNA", at positions 354 to 796 of the family's 1533-position model. The record is from RNAcentral.
GUGGGGAAUCUUCCGCAAUGGACGAAAGUCUGACGGAGCAACGCCGCGUGAGUGAUGAAGGUCUUCGGAUUGUAAAGCUCUGUUAAUCGGGACGAAAGAGCCUAGUGUGAAUAAUGCUAGGAAGUGACGGUACCGGAAUAGAAAGCCACGGCUAACUACGUGCCAGCAGCCGCGGUAAUACGUAGGUGGCAAGCGUUGUCCGGAAUUAUUGGGCGUAAAGCGCGCGCAGGCGGCUCUGCCAGUCUGUCUUAAAAGUUCGGGGCUUAAACCCGUGAUGGGAUGGAAACUACAGAUCUAGAGUAUCGGAGAGGAAAGUGGAAUUCCUAGUGUAGCGGUGAAAUGCGUAGAUAUUAGGAAGAACACCAGUGGCGAAGGCGACUUUCUGGACGAAAACUGACGCUGAGGCGCGAAAGCCAGGGGAGCGAACGGGAUUAGAAACCCGUGUAGUCC